RNAcentral lists this ribosomal RNA (1079 nucleotides) under Acinetobacter baumannii. Its description in RNAcentral is "bacterial SSU rRNA". It matches the Rfam family "Bacterial small subunit ribosomal RNA", at positions 1 to 1072 of the family's 1533-position model. The record is from RNAcentral. Lineage: Bacteria; Pseudomonadati; Pseudomonadota; Gammaproteobacteria; Moraxellales; Moraxellaceae.
UUUAACUGAAGAGUUUGAUCAUGGCUCAGAUUGAACGCUGGCGGCAGGCUUAACACAUGCAAGUCGAGCGGGGGAAGGUAGCUUGCUACUGGACCUAGCGGCGGACGGGUGAGUAAUGCUUAGGAAUCUGCCUAUUAGUGGGGGACAACAUCUCGAAAGGGAUGCUAAUACCGCAUACGUCCUACGGGAGAAAGCAGGGGAUCUUCGGACCUUGCGCUAAUAGAUGAGCCUAAGUCGGAUUAGCUAGUUGGUGGGGUAAAGGCCUACCAAGGCGACGAUCUGUAGCGGGUCUGAGAGGAUGAUCCGCCACACUGGGACUGAGACACGGCCCAGACUCCUACGGGAGGCAGCAGUGGGGAAUAUUGGACAAUGGGGGGAACCCUGAUCCAGCCAUGCCGCGUGUGUGAAGAAGGCCUUAUGGUUGUAAAGCACUUUAAGCGAGGAGGAGGCUACUUUAGUUAAUACCUAGAGAUAGUGGACGUUACUCGCAGAAUAAGCACCGGCUAACUCUGUGCCAGCAGCCGCGGUAAUACAGAGGGUGCGAGCGUUAAUCGGAUUUACUGGGCGUAAAGCGUGCGUAGGCGGCUUAUUAAGUCGGAUGUGAAAUCCCCGAGCUUAACUUGGGAAUUGCAUUCGAUACUGGUGAGCUAGAGUAUGGGAGAGGAUGGUAGAAUUCCAGGUGUAGCGGUGAAAUGCGUAGAGAUCUGGAGGAAUACCGAUGGCGAAGGCAGCCAUCUGGCCUAAUACUGACGCUGAGGUACGAAAGCAUGGGGAGCAAACAGGAUUAGAUACCCUGGUAGUCCAUGCCGUAAACGAUGUCUACUAGCCGUUGGGGCCUUUGAGGCUUUAGUGGCGCAGCUAACGCGAUAAGUAGACCGCCUGGGGAGUACGGUCGCAAGACUAAAACUCAAAUGAAUUGACGGGGGCCCGCACAAGCGGUGGAGCAUGUGGUUUAAUUCGAUGCAACGCGAAGAACCUUACCUGGCCUUGACAUACUAGAAACUUUCCAGAGAUGGAUUGGUGCCUUCGGGAAUCUAGAUACAGGUGCUGCAUGGCUGUCGUCAGCUCGUGUCGUGAGA